AGCGAACGCUGGCGGCAGGCCUAACACAUGCAAGUCGAACGAACUCUUCGUAAUUAGUGGCUGACAGGUGAGUAACACGUGGGAACGUGCCUUUUGGUUCCGAAUAACUCAUGGUCACUUGUGCUAAUACCGAAUGUGCCCUUCGGGGGCAAGAUUUAUCGCCAUUAGAGCGGCCCGCGUCUGAUUAGCUAGUUGGUGAGGUAACGGCUCACCAAGGCGACGAUCAGUAGCUGGUCGGAGAGGAUGACCAGCCACACUGGGACUGCGACACGGCCCAGACUCCUACGGGAGGCAGCAGUGGGGAAUCUUGCGCAAUGGGCGAAAGCCUGACGCAGCCAUGCCGCGUGAAUGAUGAAGGUCUUAGGAUUGUAAAAUUCUUUCACCGGGGACGAUAAUGACGGUACCCGGAGAAGAAGCCCCGGCUAACUUCGU
This 432-nucleotide ribosomal RNA is filed under the name uncultured bacterium. RNAcentral describes it as "partial 16S ribosomal RNA". It matches the Rfam family "Bacterial small subunit ribosomal RNA", at positions 29 to 506 of the family's 1533-position model. The record is from RNAcentral.